RNAcentral lists this ribosomal RNA (289 nucleotides) under uncultured bacterium. RNAcentral describes it as "partial 16S ribosomal RNA". It matches the Rfam family "Bacterial small subunit ribosomal RNA", at positions 29 to 346 of the family's 1533-position model. The record is from RNAcentral.
AAUGAACGCUGGCGGCAUGCCUAACACAUGCAAGUCGAACGAGACCUUCGGGUCUAGUGGCGCACGGGUGCGUAACGCGUGGGAAUCUGCCCUUGGGUUCGGAAUAACAGUGAGAAAUUACUGCUAAUACCGAAUGAUGACGUAAGUCCAAAGAUUUAUCGCCCAGGGAUGAGCCCGCGUAGGAUUAGCUAGUUGGUGAGGUAAAAGCUCACCAAGGCGACGAUCCUUAGCUGGCUGAGAGGAUGAUCAGCCACACUGGGACUGAGACACGGCCCAGACUCCUACGGGA